UACGUAGGGAGCAAGCGUUGUCCGGAUUCACUGGGUGUAAAGGGUGCGCAGGCGGGGUGGCAAGGCAGAGGUGAAAUCUCACAGCUUAACUGUGAAACUGCCUUUGAUACUUCCAAUCUUGAGUUAAAGAGAGGUUGAUGGAAUUUCAGGUGUAGCGGUGAAAUGCGUAGAUAUCUGAAAGAACACCAGUGGCGAAGGCGGUCAACUGGCUUUUAACUGACGCUCAGGCACGAAAGCGUGGGUAGCGAACAGG
Molecule: ribosomal RNA, 253 nt
Filed under: uncultured bacterium
Lineage: Bacteria
Description: partial 16S ribosomal RNA
Rfam family: Bacterial small subunit ribosomal RNA
Source: RNAcentral